This is a long non-coding RNA of Quercus lobata, 192 nucleotides long. RefSeq lists it as uncharacterized. Lineage: Eukaryota; Viridiplantae; Streptophyta; Magnoliopsida; Fagales; Fagaceae. The transcript has 3 exons. The record is from RefSeq and is a predicted model, not a curated record.
AGGCACUCAAAGUCAGUACUGCUCCCAUUGAACCACCGUGCGCCUAAGUAUGGAGCCUCAGAUUGAUGAGGAGUUAGAGGUCUUGGACCCCGGUCCGCGUCAGAGGUCAUUGUUGACACGACAGCCAUAUCAUCGAUCAGAGGCCAUUUGGAAUGGCGAGGACUCGGGCCCACUUACGUGCCGUGGUCGCAC